UGGGUGGGCUGGAAUCCCGGGCCUGGAGCCAGGCCACAGGGCAGGCAUGCUCAAACACACACACACAGGGGAGGCGCAUGCAUUUACACUCAAUCGCACACGUAUACACACAGUGGAUGCGCUCACAUCCACACUCUAGCAGCAGCCCAGCGGCUAACUGGGUUAGCCUAGCACUGACAGCUGGGAAUGACUACUAGCUCUACACUGACCAUGUGUGAGAUAUAAGAGGAAUGCAGGGACUGACUACGGAUCAGCUUGACCUUCUCUCAAAUUCCACCAACGGAAGAAUACAUUUUUAGCCCGCUGAAUCUGAAAUACUGCUUCGGUGCCUGCAUGCAUCCAACUCACUCAGUCCACUAGCAGCAUGCUCUCUCAGCCAAGAUCUGUGGUUUGGGGCAACGUUCUGGUCAGGCUCAGCUUUGCUCCUGUCCCCUCUAGCAUGGCUAGUUAUCUGGGACUGUGAUAGCUGCUGUCCGGGCCUGGAAUGUGGAUUCCCCUGGAAUGUAUGCUGAGCACUUGUUGGCUGCUUGGGUUGAGGCCGGGUGAUUGUGGAGGCCAUCUGAUGCAGCACUCCAUCACUCUCCUUCUUGGUCAAAUGGCCCUUACACAGCCUGGAGGUAUGUUGGGUCAUAGUCCCACUAAGCACAAACCAGAUGGGAUGGCGUAUUGCAGAAUGCUGUGGUAGCCAUGCUGGUUAAGUGUGCCUUGAAUUCUAAAUAAAUCACAGACAGUGUCACCAGCAAAGCACCCCCACACCUCCUCAUGCUUCACGGUGGGAACCACACAUGUGGAGAUUAUCAGUUCACCAACUCUGCGUCUCACAAAGACAUGGCGGGUUGGAACCAAAAAUCUCAAAUUUGGAUUCAUCAGACCAAAGGACCGGUCUAAUGUCCAUUGCUUGUGUUUCUUGGCCCAAGGAAGUGUCUUUUUCUUAUUUGUGUCCUUGACUAGUGGUUUCUUUGCAUGAAGGCCUGAUUUAAAUCAAAUGUUAUUUGUCGAAUAUAACAGGAAUGAUCAGACCUUACAGUGAAUUCCUUCUUACAAGCCCUUAACACUUAAUUUUCUUAAAACUGCAUUGUUGGUUAAGAAAAAAUAAGAAAUAAAAGUAACAAAAUAAUUAGAGCAGCAGUAAAAUAACAAUAGUGAGGCUAUAUACAGGGGGUACCGGUACAAAGUCAAUGUGCGGGGGCACCGAUUAGUCGGGGUAAUUGAGGUAAUAUGUACAUGUAGGUAGAGUUAAAGUGACUAUGCAUAGAUAAACAGAGUAGCAGCAGCAUAAAAUAGGAGGGGGGUAAUGCAAAUAGUCUGUGUAGACAAUUGAUUAGCUGUUCAGUCUCCUCUGAACAGUUGAUGUUGAGAUGUGUCUGUUACUUGAACUCUGAAGCAUUUAUUUGGGCUGCAAUUUCUGAGGCUGCUAACUCUAAUGAACUCAUCCUCUGCAGCAGAGGCAACUCUGGGUCCUCAUGAGAGCCAGUUUUAUCAUGUCUUAAAGUAAUGAUGGAUAGUCAUUUUUCUUUGCUUAUGUGAGCUGUUCUUGUCAUAAUAUGGACUUGGUCUUUUACAAAAUAGGGCAAUCUUCUGUAUACCACCCCUACCUUGUCACAACACAACUGAUUGGCAGAAAUGUUUUUCGAAAGAAAUAAAUUCCACAAAUGAAGUUAACAAGGCACAUCUGUUAAUUGAAAUGCAUUCCAGAUGACUGCCUCAUGAAGCUGGUUGAGAGAAUGCCAAGCGUGUGCAAAGCUGUUAUCAAGACAAAGGGUGGCUACUUUGAAGAACCUCAUACAAAAUAUAUUUAGAUUUGUUUAACACGGUUUUGGUUACUAUAUGAUUCCAUAUGUGUUAUUUCAUAGUUUAUGUCUUCACUAUUAUUCUACAAUGUAGAAAAUAGUAAAAAUAAAGUAAAACCCUGGAAUGAGUAGGUGUGUCCAAACUUUUGACUGGUACUGUAUAUAAAAUAAAUCACACAUAUUUUGGUGAAAAAGUGCAUAUUUACCGACUCAAAACCGAUAGUACUUAACAAAAAUAGCUCAUUUAGCCAAUACACUUUCAAUAAAACAAUGAAUUUG
Long non-coding RNA from Oncorhynchus nerka (sockeye salmon), 2069 nucleotides. RefSeq lists it as uncharacterized. The record is from RefSeq and is a predicted model, not a curated record. NCBI's taxonomy places the organism in Eukaryota, Metazoa, Chordata, Actinopteri, Salmoniformes, Salmonidae. The transcript is spliced from 4 exons.